AUGUUUGGCCUUCUUCAGCUCUUCUGUGGAUUACUGUCCAUAUCUAAUAAAAGCGGGACUGAGGGGUUGUUUGGGGCAACAGUCUUUUCUACUGUUGUCCCCUGCUCCCUCUCUCUUGCAGCUGACUUGUUUGUGCCUCGUUCUUCUCCUGUGCACCGUCAGGAAGCGGCAAGUGGUGCCCGAACAGGGACCGAAAUGAAACAGGAGAAGAAACCCCCAUGUGAGUUUUUGCAUGGCCGGGCCUUUUUCCUGCUGUAUAUGUUUUGCAGCACAUCGAAACUGCUACUGUUUCUACCUCUGAUGUAAUAUGAUGACCCUCAUCACAGCCAUGCAGGCGAAAAUUCUUCCAACGACUGAUGGAUCAAGAAGUUACAAAAUUGACUUUUCUUCUGCACAAACAAAAAGAGGGAGAUGCAACUAUCCCUCAGAACAAUGUAUUACUUAACAUAUAACCCAUGGGAAAUUUUACUACUUACCAAGCACGUUUAGAUACAGCCUUAAGAAAUACACAUACUGGCAACAGGUCUCUGGGGGAGAGGAUGGUAUAUGGCCUUGAAGCCAAGCAGCUGGGAACACCCAGCCCACUCAGGGCAGAAGGUCCUCUGCUUCAUUUUUCCAUUAUCUCCGCCCCCUGUCCCCCUCCCCCACCCCAGCCCCAGAGCGCCUGUGGCUAGUUAAAUAAGUCCUUUGAAUGUGCUUGUUCAACUAUAAACUUUCUACGGCUUGUCCAGGAUUUUGCCCUCCUUGUUUAUCUACAAGGUGCAUGACUAAAGUUUGGCCUUCUUUGGCUCUUCUGUGGAUUACUGUCCAUAUCUAAUAAAAGCGGGGCUGAGGAGUUGUUCGGGGCAACAGUCUUUUCCACUGUUACCCCCUGCUCCCUUUCUCUUGCAGCUGACUUGUUUGUGCCUCAUUCUUCUCCCUUGCAUCAUCAGGAAGUGGCAAUGGAGGGGAACCUGGGUGGCUCAUUUGGUUAAGGGACCGACUCUUAAUUUUGGCUAAAGUUAUGAUCUCAGGGUUGUGAGAUCAAGCCCUGCUUCAGGCUUUAUGCUGGGUGUGCAGCUUGCUUAAGAUUCUCUCUCUUCCUCACUCGCCCCCUUUCCCUCGCUCUCUUAAGUAAAAAUAAAUGAAUUAAUAAGUUAAUUAAUUAAAACAAAACAAAACAUAACAAAACACUAGACAGACCUUUAGCACCAUGCUUCGGGAGCCAUUUUAAGCAACAAAAUCUGCCCCCCUCUCCAAGUACAGAAAUGUGAAAACCAUGGCACUAAGCAGAUUGAAAAAAAUUUUUUUGUUCACACUGUGGGCAUUUAAACAAAAAACAGAGCAUUGCUUUGUUCGUCCUCAGUUGGCAACAUGCAAGUUAGAAAUUCUAAUUUUUUUUUAUGACUCUAUUCAUGUUAACUAUGAAAAGACUAGGUUGAUUUGGGGGUUACAAAUAAAUUCUUGCAAGCAAAUGAAUCCUGAAACAUGUAAUCCAUGAAUAAUUGGGAUUAAGUUGUAUAUUUAAAAAGAUGAUAAGUGGGGCGCCUGGGUGGCUCAGUGGGUUAAGCCGCUGCCUUCGGCUCAGGUCAUGAUCUCAGGGUCCUGGGAUCGAGUCCCACAUCGGGCUCUCUGCUCAGCGGGGAGCAUGCUUCCUCCUCUCUCUCUCUCUCUGCCUGCCUCUCCAUCUACUUGUGAUUUCUCUCUGUCAAAUAAAUAAAUAAAAUCUUUAAAAAUAAAUAAAUAAAUAAAUAAAAAGAUGAUAAGAGUUCGUACCCGUAUUUUAAAUUCCAAACCCAAAUCUCAAGUUUCAAACUGGACUUUGCCAUUGCCAUGAUUGUGAAUCCUUUGUUAGUGCAUUACCACAGUGUAAAUCCAACUAUUCCCAAUGUAUUCACUUAUUUGCCCAAUCAACAGACUUGACACAAUGUAAUCAAACUUCUAUCCACUCUGGCCACCUUCACUACCUAACCUGCAGGGGCCUGUCCCCCAAGCCCUCCAGACUGGGGACCCCUGAGCCACACCCUAGGACUCCGCCUGCCACCCAGGAGGAAAUCGUGCCAUUCGGAGCCGUGCAAAACCCUCAGAGCAGAGAAACCUGCAUGCCCCUGCUGAGGCCAA
This is a long non-coding RNA of Mustela putorius furo (domestic ferret), 2100 nucleotides long. Lineage: Eukaryota; Metazoa; Chordata; Mammalia; Carnivora; Mustelidae. The record is from Ensembl.